RNAcentral lists this long non-coding RNA (491 nucleotides) under Hordeum vulgare. RNAcentral describes it as "long non-coding RNA (HVUL_LNC010437)". Lineage: Eukaryota; Viridiplantae; Streptophyta; Magnoliopsida; Poales; Poaceae. The record is from RNAcentral.
UCACUACGUCACUUAGGUGAGAACACGCUAUUGUCCUUUGGUUGCACUUUCAAGAGGAAGUAUAGUGGGACUUGCUUAUGAUUCACCCAACUUUCUCUCUAGUUGCUCUGCUUGCGACAAGCAUCGAACUUGGUUCCAAGAAAGCAGAGUUCAUUUCGAUGAACUCACCUUAGUGCCACAUGAUCGUUCGGCCAUCUUAUGGCUCGAUUCAUCAUGUUUGUGUACUAUGGAAUAAAAAGUGACAUCCAAAUAAUGGACCGUCUUACUGCCCGAUUCAUGUACCACAAGAGUUUUUUUAUAAAGGAGGAAUACCUCCGGCCUCUGUAUCAAAAAGAUGCAUGCGGCCCCUUUAUCUAUACCUACUAUUAAAGUAGGUAACGUUUCUGUCCGUCCGUCGUUGUCAUCUUGCAAAAAAGCCUCUGAUGUAUUGGGUAUUCAACCCCACUCAUGAUUUGAGUGAACAAAAAACGUUUCAGUUUUAUUAAAAAAAC